This 254-nucleotide ribosomal RNA is filed under the name uncultured bacterium. RNAcentral describes it as "partial 16S ribosomal RNA". It matches the Rfam family "Bacterial small subunit ribosomal RNA", at positions 524 to 776 of the family's 1533-position model. The record is from RNAcentral.
CACGUAGGGGGCGAGCGUUGUCCGGAUUUAUUGGGCGUAAAGAGCUCGUAGGCGGUUUCGUAGGUCGGGUGUGAAAACCCCAGGCUCAACCUGGGGACGCCACCCGAUACUGCGAUGACUAGAGUCCGGGAGAGGGAUGUGGAAUUCCAGGUGUAGCGGUGAAAUGCGUAGAUAUCUGGAGGAACACCGGUGGCGAAGGCGACAUCCUGGACCGGUAUUGACGCUGAGGCGCGAAAGCCAGGGGAGCAAACGGG